GGUUAAGCGACUAAGCGUACACGGUGGAUGCCCUGGCAGUCAGAGGCGAUGAAGGACGUGCUAAUCUGCGAUAAGCGUCGGUAAGGUGAUAUGAACCGUUAUAACCGGCGAUUUCCGAAUGGGGAAACCCAGUGUGUUUCGACACACUAUCAUUAACUGAAUCCAUAGGUUAAUGAGGCGAACCGGGGGAACUGAAACAUCUAAGUACCCCGAGGAAAAGAAAUCAACCGAGAUUCCCCCAGUAGCGGCGAGCGAACGGGGAGCAGCCCAGAGCCUGAAUCAGUGUGUGUGUUAGUGGAAGCGUCUGGAAAGGCGCGCGAUACAGGGUGACAGCCCCGUACACAAAAAUGCACAUGCUGUGAGCUCGAUGAGUAGGGCGGGACACGUGGUAUCCUGUCUGAAUAUGGGGGGACCAUCCUCCAAGGCUAAAUACUCCUGACUGACCGAUAGUGAACCAGUACCGUGAGGGAAAGGCGAAAAGAACCCCGGCGAGGGGAGUGAAAAAGAACCUGAAACCGUGUACGUACAAGCAGUGGGAGCACGCUUAGGCGUGUGACUGCGUACCUUUUGUAUAAUGGGUCAGCGACUUAUAUUCUGUAGCAAGGUUAACCGAAUAGGGGAGCCGAAGGGAAACCGAGUCUUAACUGGGCGUUAAGUUGCAGGGUAUAGACCCGAAACCCGGUGAUCUAGCCAUGGGCAGGUUGAAGGUUGGGUAACACUAACUGGAGGACCGAACCGACUAAUGUUGAAAAAUUAGCGGAUGACUUGUGGCUGGGGGUGAAAGGCCAAUCAAACCGGGAGAUAGCUGGUUCUCCCCGAAAGCUAUUUAGGUAGCGCCUCGUGAAUUCAUCUCCGGGGGUAGAGCACUGUUUCGGCAAGGGGGUCAUCCCGACUUACCAACCCGAUGCAAACUGCGAAUACCGGAGAAUGUUAUCACGGGAGACACACGGCGGGUGCUAACGUCCGUCGUGAAGAGGGAAACAACCCAGACCGCCAGCUAAGGUCCCAAAGUCAUGGUUAAGUGGGAAACGAUGUGGGAAGGCCCAGACAGCCAGGAUGUUGGCUUAGAAGCAGCCAUCAUUUAAAGAAAGCGUAAUAGCUCACUGGUCGAGUCGGCCUGCGCGGAAGAUGUAACGGGGCUAAACCAUGCACCGAAGCUGCGGCAGCGACGCUUAUGCGUUGUUGGGUAGGGGAGCGUUCUGUAAGCCUGUGAAGGUGUGCUGUGAGGCAUGCUGGAGGUAUCAGAAGUGCGAAUGCUGACAUAAGUAACGAUAAAGCGGGUGAAAAGCCCGCUCGCCGGAAGACCAAGGGUUCCUGUCCAACGUUAAUCGGGGCAGGGUGAGUCGACCCCUAAGGCGAGGCCGAAAGGCGUAGUCGAUGGGAAACAGGUUAAUAUUCCUGUACUUGGUGUUACUGCGAAGGGGGGACGGAGAAGGCUAUGUUGGCCGGGCGACGGUUGUCCCGGUUUAAGCGUGUAGGCUGGUUUUCCAGGCAAAUCCGGAAAAUCAAGGCUGAGGCGUGAUGACGAGGCACUACGGUGCUGAAGCAACAAAUGCCCUGCUUCCAGGAAAAGCCUCUAAGCAUCAGGUAACAUCAAAUCGUACCCCAAACCGACACAGGUGGUCAGGUAGAGAAUACCAAGGCGCUUGAGAGAACUCGGGUGAAGGAACUAGGCAAAAUGGUGCCGUAACUUCGGGAGAAGGCACGCUGAUAUGUAGGUGAGGUCCCUCGCGGAUGGAGCUGAAAUCAGUCGAAGAUACCAGCUGGCUGCAACUGUUUAUUAAAAACACAGCACUGUGCAAACACGAAAGUGGACGUAUACGGUGUGACGCCUGCCCGGUGCCGGAAGGUUAAUUGAUGGGGUUAGCGCAAGCGAAGCUCUUGAUCGAAGCCCCGGUAAACGGCGGCCGUAACUAUAACGGUCCUAAGGUAGCGAAAUUCCUUGUCGGGUAAGUUCCGACCUGCACGAAUGGCGUAAUGAUGGCCAGGCUGUCUCCACCCGAGACUCAGUGAAAUUGAACUCGCUGUGAAGAUGCAGUGUACCCGCGGCAAGACGGAAAGACCCCGUGAACCUUUACUAUAGCUUGACACUGAACAUUGAGCCUUGAUGUGUAGGAUAGGUGGGAGGCUUUGAAGUGUGGACGCCAGUCUGCAUGGAGCCGACCUUGAAAUACCACCCUUUAAUGUUUGAUGUUCUAACGUUGACCCGUAAUCCGGGUUGCGGACAGUGUCUGGUGGGUAGUUUGACUGGGGCGGUCUCCUCCUAAAGAGUAACGGAGGAGCACGAAGGUUGGCUAAUCCUGGUCGGACAUCAGGAGGUUAGUGCAAUGGCAUAAGCCAGCUUGACUGCGAGCGUGACGGCGCGAGCAGGUGCGAAAGCAGGUCAUAGUGAUCCGGUGGUUCUGAAUGGAAGGGCCAUCGCUCAACGGAUAAAAGGUACUCCGGGGAUAACAGGCUGAUACCGCCCAAGAGUUCAUAUCGACGGCGGUGUUUGGCACCUCGAUGUCGGCUCAUCACAUCCUGGGGCUGAAGUAGGUCCCAAGGGUAUGGCUGUUCGCCAUUUAAAGUGGUACGCGAGCUGGGUUUAGAACGUCGUGAGACAGUUCGGUCCCUAUCUGCCGUGGGCGCUGGAGAACUGAGGGGGGCUGCUCCUAGUACGAGAGGACCGGAGUGGACGCAUCACUGGUGUUCGGGUUGUCAUGCCAAUGGCACUGCCCGGUAGCUAAAUGCGGAAGAGAUAAGUGCUGAAAGCAUCUAAGCACGAAACUUGCCCCGAGAUGAGUUCUCCCUGACCCUUUAAGGGUCCUGAAGGAACGUUGAAGACGACGACGUUGAUAGGCCGGGUGUGUAAGCGCAGCGAUGCGUUGAGCUAACCGGUACUAAUGAACCGUGAGGCUUAACCUU
RNAcentral lists this ribosomal RNA (2904 nucleotides) under Escherichia coli. RNAcentral's name for it is "23S ribosomal RNA". It matches the Rfam family "Bacterial large subunit ribosomal RNA". Lineage: Bacteria; Pseudomonadati; Pseudomonadota; Gammaproteobacteria; Enterobacterales; Enterobacteriaceae. The record is from RNAcentral.